UACAGAGGUCCCAAGCGUUGUUCGGAUUCAUUGGGCGUAAAGGGUGCGUAGGCGGCGGGGUAAGUCAGGUGUGAAAUACCGGAGCUCAACUCCGGAACUGCACUUGAUACUGCCUUGCUCGAGUACUGGAGAGGAGACUGGAAUUUACGGUGUAGCAGUGAAAUGCGUAGAUAUCGUAAGGAAGACCAGUGGCGAAGGCGAGUCUCUGGACAGUUACUGACGCUGAGGCACGAAGGCCAGGGGAGCAAACGGG
This 253-nucleotide ribosomal RNA is filed under the name uncultured bacterium. RNAcentral's name for it is "partial 16S ribosomal RNA". It matches the Rfam family "Bacterial small subunit ribosomal RNA", at positions 524 to 776 of the family's 1533-position model. The record is from RNAcentral.